UUUUCGUUGUUGCAGCUUGGUUCUCCAUACAAAGUCCCAGUUUUCUAUUGCUCUCUCUCUUCACAAGUUUCUCUCAGAGAAUAGGGUAUGAAUCUUUACGUCUCUUAACUGAAAUAAACCUAUGAAAAUUAGCUUCUUUCUCGAUUGGGGAUUAAUUUGUCAGCUCAUGAAAUUGGAGGACGGAGGCUCAGUACAUCACCGCGAAAAUGUCAGAGUGGUGGGACAUAGAACUUCCUGAUCCCUUUGGCGACAGCCACGCCAUUGCCCAGAACAUGAAGCCAGUCAUCGUCAAAUUGAACUACAACGACCCAUUCUCAACCUCCCGCUACGGCGACACCUAAAUCGCAUCGCCCUCAAUCACAUUCUAGCAGGUCUAUCCAGAAGCGACACACCUAAUAAUUCCAUGGUUUUGAGAGGCCAAUCAUCUAUGAUGUCCACGCACAACCCCAUUUCGUGGACAGCACUGCUGGAAGCCGUGACCUCUAGAUGGUAUGAAUAAACCUUUUCCAUCUUUGUACAUUGUCUGAAGGAUAAGUUGAAGAUUGGACAACGUCUGUGAUUGUCGAUUCGUUUAUUCUUUCAAUUUCAGACUG
Long non-coding RNA from Rosa chinensis, 593 nucleotides. RefSeq lists it as uncharacterized. The transcript has 3 exons. The record is from RefSeq and is a predicted model, not a curated record. Lineage: Eukaryota; Viridiplantae; Streptophyta; Magnoliopsida; Rosales; Rosaceae.